This 302-nucleotide ribosomal RNA is filed under the name uncultured bacterium. RNAcentral's name for it is "partial 16S ribosomal RNA". It matches the Rfam family "Bacterial small subunit ribosomal RNA", at positions 508 to 807 of the family's 1533-position model. The record is from RNAcentral.
GCAGCAGCCGCGGUAAUACAGAGGGUGCGAGCGUUAAUCGGAUUUACUGGGCGUAAAGCGUGCGUAGGCGGCUUUUUAAGUCGGAUGUGAAAUCCCUGAGCUUAACUUAGGAAUUGCAUUCGAUACUGGGAAGCUAGAGUAUGGGAGAGGAUGGUAGAAUUCCAGGUGUAGCGGUGAAAUGCGUAGAGAUUUGGAGGAAUACCGAUGGCGAAGGCAGCCAUCUGGCCUAAUACUGACGCUGAGGUACGAAAGCAUGGGGAGCAAACAGGAUUAGAUACCCCCGUAGUCCCUGUCUCUUAUAC